ACUCUGGACACCAAAGUUUGGUGGAACUUCCUGGUUGGUGAACACAUCCAUGUGCCAGGAGGGUGACACGGCCUAAUUCACAGAGAGAUGACACAGAAGCUCUGCAUGGGAGACCGGCCUUACCUGUGUCUUCAUUAGUCCAGUCCUCCUGAUUUGUAUCCUUUGUAACAAGCCUAUAAUCAACUUUCUCAGUUGUGUGUGUGAAUACGCCUGGCUUUUCAUCAAACAGCUUUGCCAUCUUGGUGCUUACUUUACUGUGAGCACAGCAAUAAAUGGAUUCUGCAGAACAAAUGACCGGGAGAAAGGACUUUGUGCUCCUUCACCUCAGAAACCUGAACUCAGAAUUUCCUUGCUGACACUUUUCAGGCUUUUGUUUGCUGGAGACUGGAGUUCCCUGAGAGGAUUAAGGGUGUGGUUGGGAGUGUCUAAAGGAGCCCAGUGCCUUGAGGGCAGCCAAGAAGACAGAGUCCCUGGACUGGAUAGCAGCUGAGGUAGGUGGAUCCCUCUGGGGUGGAGACCUUUCCCAGCUCCGCAGCCCCAGGCGUGUCAAGGGCUGUCAAGGCCUCAGAGGAGACCAGCUGCCUCUGCACCUCAGGAAGCUGUAUCCUGACACCUGGACUCCAGAGUGCACAAAUAAAAGGAGCACUUGCCUUUGGGAGACCUCAGGAUGUUGACAAUGAGAACAUCAUGGAUGGGCGCGGUGGCUUGCUCCUGUAAUCCCAGCACUUUGGGAGGCCAAGGCAGGUGGAUCACC
Molecule: long non-coding RNA, 754 nt
Filed under: Macaca fascicularis (crab-eating macaque)
Lineage: Eukaryota; Metazoa; Chordata; Mammalia; Primates; Cercopithecidae
Description: long intergenic non-protein coding RNA 2570
Source: RNAcentral